UGGGGAAUAUUGCACAAUGGGCGAAAGCCUGAUGCAGCAACGCCGCGUGAGCGAUGAAGGCCUUCGGGUCGUAAAGCUCUGUCCUCAAGGAAGAUAAUGACGGUACUUGAGGAGGAAGCCCCGGCUAACUACGUGCCAGCAGCCGCGGUAAUACGUAGGGGGCUAGCGUUAUCCGGAAUUACUGGGCGGAAAGGGUGCGUAGGUGGUUUCUUAAGUCAGAGGUGAAAGGCUACGGCUCAACCCUAGUAAGCCUUUGAAACUGGGAAACGUGAGUGCAGGAGAGGAGGGUGGAAUUCCUAGUGGAGCGGUGAAAUGCGUAGAUAUUAGGAGGAACACCAGUUGCGAAGGCGGCUCUCUGGACUGUAACUGACACUGAGGCACGAAAGCGUGGGGAGCAAACA
RNAcentral lists this ribosomal RNA (401 nucleotides) under uncultured prokaryote. RNAcentral describes it as "bacterial SSU rRNA". It matches the Rfam family "Bacterial small subunit ribosomal RNA", at positions 355 to 774 of the family's 1533-position model. The record is from RNAcentral.